Molecule: non-coding RNA, 45 nt
Organism: Schistosoma rodhaini
Lineage: Eukaryota; Metazoa; Platyhelminthes; Trematoda; Strigeidida; Schistosomatidae
Source: Rfam
AUCCAGCUGACGAGUCCCAAAUAAAAAGUAACGCGCAUCCUGGAU